Molecule: transfer RNA, 86 nt
Filed under: Megalops atlanticus (tarpon)
Lineage: Eukaryota; Metazoa; Chordata; Actinopteri; Elopiformes; Megalopidae
Rfam family: tRNA
About the family: Transfer RNA (tRNA) molecules are approximately 80 nucleotides in length.
Source: Rfam by way of RNAcentral
CCUUCGAUAGCUCAGUUGGUAGAGCGGAGGACUGUAGAGGUUCAGUUGAAAUCCUUAGGUCGCUGGUUCGAAUCCGGCUCGAAGGA